Molecule: transfer RNA, 73 nt
Filed under: Phycisphaerales bacterium
Lineage: Bacteria; Pseudomonadati; Planctomycetota; Phycisphaerae; Phycisphaerales
Description: tRNA-Gly
Rfam family: tRNA
About the family: Transfer RNA (tRNA) molecules are approximately 80 nucleotides in length. Their secondary structure includes four short double-helical elements and three loops (D, anti-codon, and T loops). Further hydrogen bonds mediate the characteristic L-shaped molecular structure. tRNAs have two regions of fundamental functional importance: the anti-codon, which is responsible for specific mRNA codon recognition, and the 3' end, to which the tRNAs corresponding amino acid is attached (by aminoacyl-tRNA synthetases). tRNAs cope with the degeneracy of the genetic code in two manners: having more than one tRNA (with a specific anti-codon) for a particular amino acid; and 'wobble' base-pairing, i.e. permitting non-standard base-pairing at the 3rd anti-codon position.
Source: RNAcentral
GGCGGGGCAGAAACGGGCGAUUUCGUCAGCUUCCCAAGCUGAAUGUCGAGGGUUCGAUCCCCUUCACCCGCUU